AUUGAACGCUGGCGGCAGGCCUAACACAUGCAAGUCGAGCGCGAAAGUUCUUCGGAAUGAGUAAAGCGGCGAACGGGUGAGUAAUGCAUGGGAAUCUGCCUGGUAGUGGGGGACAACGUUUCGAAAGGAACGCUAAUACCGCAUACGCCCUACGGGGAAAGGGGGGGAGUCUUCGGACCUCUCGCUAUCAGAUGAGCCCAUGUCAGAUUAGCUAGUUGGUGGGGUAAAGGCUCACCAAGGCGACGAUCUGUAACUGGUCUGAGAGGAUGAUCAGUCACACUGGAACUGAGACACGGUCCAGACUCCUACGGGAGGCAGCAGUGGGGAAUAUUGGACAAUGGGCGAAAGCCUGAUCCAGCCAUGCCGCGUGUGUGAAGAAGGCCUUC
RNAcentral lists this ribosomal RNA (386 nucleotides) under uncultured bacterium. Its description in RNAcentral is "bacterial SSU rRNA". It matches the Rfam family "Bacterial small subunit ribosomal RNA", at positions 30 to 419 of the family's 1533-position model. The record is from RNAcentral.